Molecule: ribosomal RNA, 447 nt
Filed under: uncultured bacterium
Lineage: Bacteria
Description: partial 16S ribosomal RNA
Rfam family: Bacterial small subunit ribosomal RNA
Source: RNAcentral
AACGAACGCUGGCGGCAGGCCUAACACAUGCAAGUCGAGCGCCCCGCAAGGGGAGCGGCCGACGGGUGAGUAACGCGUGGGCAUCCUCCCAUCCCUACGGAAUAGCUCCGGGAAACUGGAAUUAAUACCGUAUACGCCCUACGGGGGAAAGAUUUAUCGGGGAUGGAUGAGCCCGCGUUGGAUUAGCUAGUUGGUGGGGUAAAGGCAUACCAAGGCGACGAUCCAUAGCUGGUCUGAGAGGAUGAUCAGCCACAUUGGGACUGAGACACGGCCCAAACUCCUACGGGAGGCAGCAGUGGGGAAUAUUGGACAAUGGGGGCAACCCUGAUCCAGCCAUGCCGCGUGAGUGAUGAAGGCCUUAGGGUUGUAAAGCUCUUUCCCCGGGGAAGAUAAUGACGGUACCCGGAGAAGAAGCCCCGGCUAACUUCGUGCCAGCCGCCGCGGUAA